RNAcentral lists this ribosomal RNA (495 nucleotides) under Puccinia firma. RNAcentral describes it as "eukaryotic LSU rRNA". It matches the Rfam family "Eukaryotic large subunit ribosomal RNA", at positions 99 to 601 of the family's 3401-position model. The record is from RNAcentral. Lineage: Eukaryota; Fungi; Basidiomycota; Pucciniomycetes; Pucciniales; Pucciniaceae.
AGGGAAAAGCCCAAAUUUGUAAUCUGACUCUUUCAAGUCCGAGUUGUAAUUUUAAGAACUGUUUUCAGUGCUGGACCAUGUACAAGUCUGUUGAAAAGCAGCAUCAUAGAAGGUGAUAAUCCUGUUCAUGAUAUGGACUACCAGUGCAAUAUGAUACAGUCUCUAAGAGUCGAGUUGUUUGGGAAUGCAGCUCAAAGUGGGUGGUAAAUUCCAUCUAAGGCUAAAUAUUGAUGAGAGACCGAUAGCAAACAAGUACCGUGAGGGAAAGAUGAAAAGAACUUUGGAAAGAGAGUUAACAGUACGUGAAAUUGUUAAAAGGGAAACAAUUGAAGUUAGACUUGUUAUUAUUAGUUCAACCUUUUCAAAGGAGUAUUCUAAUGAUUAACAGACCAACAUCAAUUUUUGAGUGUUGGAUAAGGGUUUAAGGAAAUGUAGCAGUCUCUGACUGUGUUAUAGUCCUGAGCUUUGAUACAAUGCUUAAGAUUGAGGAAUGCA